This 254-nucleotide ribosomal RNA is filed under the name uncultured bacterium. Its description in RNAcentral is "partial 16S ribosomal RNA". It matches the Rfam family "Bacterial small subunit ribosomal RNA", at positions 524 to 776 of the family's 1533-position model. The record is from RNAcentral.
UACGUAGGGGGCAAGCGUUUGUCCGGAUUUAUUGGGCGUAAAGAGCGUGUAGGCGGCUUUACAGGUCCGUUGUGAAAACUCGAGGCUCAACCUCGAGACGCCGGUGGAAACCGUAAGGCUAGAGUCCGGAAGAGGAGAGUGGAAUUCCUGGUGUAGCGGUGAAAUGCGCAGAUAUCAGGAGGAACACCAGUGGCGAAGGCGGCGAUCUGGGAAGAUACUGACGCUGAGGUGCGAAAGCGUGGGGAGCAAACAGG